This 131-nucleotide ribosomal RNA is filed under the name Mortierella sp. RNAcentral describes it as "partial small subunit ribosomal RNA". It matches the Rfam family "Eukaryotic small subunit ribosomal RNA", at positions 1651 to 1779 of the family's 1831-position model. The record is from RNAcentral. Lineage: Eukaryota; Fungi; Mortierellomycota; Mortierellomycetes; Mortierellales; Mortierellaceae.
CCCUGCCCUUUGUACACACCACCCAUCACUACUACCAAUUGAAUGGCUUAGUGAGGCUUUCGGAUUGGAUUUUGGCAGCUGGCAACAGCACCUAGAAACUGAAAAGUUAUCCAAACUUGGUCAUUUAGAGG